AUACCUCAUAAUCUCAGAAAGCAGGCUACAGUUUGGACUGUGAGGCUGGUCUCAGUGAUGAUUAGGAGGCAGGACUGACUUUGACUCGGGAGAUGAAUGAAAACCAGAAGGCAAGGAGGAGGCAGAGUGGCCCAAGAAACUGUAUUACAAGGGGAGAGAAGCCUGGGUGUCGCUUUGAGAAGCAUCAGUGAGUCCACCCUGAAGACUACACAGAUGCAUGAAGGUGGAGCCUUCCCCUCAAAUCCUACAUGUGUCUGGAGCAUCAACUUUAGGCCAGUUAUUUCAAUGGAGUCUUAAUUUCACUCUGGCUUUUUUAGUCCAGAGAGAAAGAAGCAUUUGCUUCUGAAGUCAGGUUGGUUUUAUCCUGGUUGAAAGGCAGGUGUGCAUUUUGACCUAUUUUUAGUUGUAUGAGCAUUCAUUAAUGUAAAUCACAUCUGCAUUGGAUGCACCUGGUAUUUUUGCAGGAGCUAUGUCCCAACCCCCUCCUCAUCGCCACAGACACUUACACAGCAGUGACAGCGGUGCCCUGGCACU
This 534-nucleotide long non-coding RNA is filed under the name Bos taurus (domestic cattle). RNAcentral describes it as "long non-coding RNA NONBTAT022445". The record is from RNAcentral. Lineage: Eukaryota; Metazoa; Chordata; Mammalia; Artiodactyla; Bovidae.